GACGAACGCUGGCGGCGUGCUUAACACAUGCAAGUCGAACGAAGAGCGAUGGAAGCUUGCUUCUAUCAAUCUUAGUGGCGAACGGGUGAGUAACGCGUAAUCAACCUGCCCUUCAGAGGGGGACAACAGUUGGAAACGACUGCUAAUACCGCAUACGAUCUAAUCUCGGCAUCGAGGAUAGAUGAAAGGUGGCCUCUACAUGUAAGCUAUCACUGAAGGAGGGGAUUGCGUCUGAUUAGCUAGUUGGAGGGGUAACGGCCCACCAAGGCGAUGAUCAGUAGCCGGUCUGAGAGGAUGAACGGCCACAUUGGGACUGAGACACGGCCCAGACUCCUACGGGAGGCAGCAGUGGGGAAUCUUCCGCAAUGGACGAAAGUCUGACGGAGCAACGCCGCGUGAGUGAUGACGGCUUUCGGGUUGUAAAGCUCUGUUAAUCGGGACGAAAGGCCUUCUUGCGAAUAGUGAGAAGGAUUGACGGUACCGGAAUAGAAAGCCACGGCUAACUACGUG
RNAcentral lists this ribosomal RNA (510 nucleotides) under uncultured bacterium. Its description in RNAcentral is "partial 16S ribosomal RNA". It matches the Rfam family "Bacterial small subunit ribosomal RNA", at positions 28 to 507 of the family's 1533-position model. The record is from RNAcentral.